UACGGAGGUUCCUAGCGUUGUUCGGAAUUACUGGGCGUAAAGGGAGCGCAGGCGGAUCGAUAAGUCUAAAGUGGAAUCCCGGGGCUCAACCUCGGACGUGCUUUGGAUACUGUUGGUCUUGAGUUCGUGAGAGGAAGGCGGAAUUCAGGGUGUAGCGGUGAAAUGCUUAGAUAUCCUGAGGAACACCAGUGGCGAAAGCGGCCUUCUGGCACGAAACUGACGCUGAGGCACGAAAGCGUGGGGAGCAAACAGG
This 253-nucleotide ribosomal RNA is filed under the name uncultured bacterium. Its description in RNAcentral is "partial 16S ribosomal RNA". It matches the Rfam family "Bacterial small subunit ribosomal RNA", at positions 524 to 776 of the family's 1533-position model. The record is from RNAcentral.